Long non-coding RNA from Limulus polyphemus (Atlantic horseshoe crab), 99 nucleotides. RefSeq lists it as uncharacterized. The record is from RefSeq and is a predicted model, not a curated record. Lineage: Eukaryota; Metazoa; Arthropoda; Merostomata; Xiphosura; Limulidae. The transcript is spliced from 3 exons.
AAGUUUAGUGAAAAAGUAAGUAAAAGUUCAGUCAGGAAAAAAGUUAGAAAACGUGAAGUUAGCUGGCGUGUGAAUGAUUGGCCAUAUCGUAGUAUAUUU